This 433-nucleotide ribosomal RNA is filed under the name uncultured bacterium. Its description in RNAcentral is "partial 16S ribosomal RNA". It matches the Rfam family "Bacterial small subunit ribosomal RNA", at positions 29 to 507 of the family's 1533-position model. The record is from RNAcentral.
AACGAACGCUGGCGGCAUGCCUAACACAUGCAAGUCGAACGAGACCUUCGGGUCUAGUGGCGCACGGGUGCGUAACGCGUGGGAACCUGCCCUUAGGUUCGGAAUAACUCCCCGAAAGGGGUGCUAAUACCGGAUAAUGUCUUCGGACCAAAGAUUUAUCGCCUUUGGAUGGGCCCGCGUUGGAUUAGCUAGUUGGUAGGGUAAAAGCCUACCAAGGCGACGAUCCAUAGCUGGUCUGAGAGGAUGAUCAGCCACACUGGGACUGAGACACGGCCCAGACUCCUACGGGAGGCAGCAGUGGGGAAUAAUGGACAAUGGGCGAAAGCCUGAUCCAGCAAUGCCGCGUGAGUGAUGAAGGACUUAGGGUUGUAAAGCUCUUUUACCCGGGAUGAUAAUGACAGUACCGGGAGAAUAAGCUACGGCUAACUCCGUG